CUUAUCACAUUUAGAUUUUUUGUCUGUUUGGAAUUUAUUUUCUGUGUGAGAUGUGGUGGGAUCUACCUUUAUUUUCCCUGGUGUACCAUUUGUUUAUAAUUAGUAUUGCUGUUUGGUGGGGCAAAUUUUUCAUAUCCUUUUAAAAAAUUGCCCUGGCUCUUUUUUGUCUGUUAUUCUUUCUUGUGAAUUUUAGGAUGAGUUCAUGGGUAAACUUUGUUGGACUUUGGGUCAGAAUUGUGUUGAAUCUAAAUUAAGUUGGAGAGAAUUGUUAUGAUGAUGAUAUGUAGCAUUGCUAUCUACGAACAUUGCCUAUGUGUCUGUUCAACUGAGUCUUUUAUAUUCUUAAUAAAGAUAUAAAAUUUCUCCA
Long non-coding RNA from Galeopterus variegatus (Sunda flying lemur), 367 nucleotides. RefSeq lists it as uncharacterized. The record is from RefSeq and is a predicted model, not a curated record. The transcript is spliced from 2 exons. Lineage: Eukaryota; Metazoa; Chordata; Mammalia; Dermoptera; Cynocephalidae.